Molecule: ribosomal RNA, 334 nt
Filed under: uncultured soil bacterium
Lineage: Bacteria
Description: bacterial SSU rRNA
Rfam family: Bacterial small subunit ribosomal RNA
Source: RNAcentral
AGAUUGAACGCUGGCGGCAGGCCUAACACAUGCAAGUCGAGCGGUAGAGAGGUGCUUGCAUCUCUUGAGAGCGGCGGACGGGUGAGUAAUGCCUAGGAAUCUGCCUAGUGGUGGGGGAUAACGUUCGGAAACGGACGCUAAUACCGCAUACGUCCUACGGGAGAAAGCGGGGGACCUUCGGGCCUCGCGCCAUUAGAUGAGCCUAGGUCGGAUUAGCUAGUUGGUGAGGUAAUGGCUCACCAAGGCGACGAUCCGUAACUGGUCUGAGAGGAUGAUCAGCCACACUGGAACUGAGACACGGUCCAGACUCCUACGGGAGGCAGCAGUGGGAAUA